GAUGAAGAACGUAGUGAAAUGCGAUAAGUAAUGUGAAUUGCAGAAUUCAGUGAAUCAUCGAGUCUUUGAACGCGCAUUGCGACCCCUGGUAUUCCGGGGGGCAUGCCUGUCCGAGCGUCAUUGCCGCCCUCAAGCACGGCUUGUGUGUUGGGCCCCCGCCCCCCGGCUUCGGGGGGCGGGCCCGAAAGGCAGCGGCGGCACCGCGUCCGGUCCUCGAGCGUAUGGGGCUUCGUCACCCGCUCCGUAGGCCCGGCCGGCGCCCGCCGGCGACCCCAAUCAAUCUUUCCAGGUUGACCUCGGAUCAGGUAGGGAUACCCGCUGAACUUAAGCAUAUCAAUAAGCGGAGGA
Molecule: unclassified non-coding RNA, 348 nt
Filed under: soil metagenome
Description: partial contains 5.8S ribosomal RNA, internal transcribed spacer 2, and large subunit ribosomal RNA
Rfam family: 5.8S ribosomal RNA (bases 1-120)
Source: RNAcentral